AACGAACGCUGGCUGCAGGCCUAACACAUGCAAGUCGAGCGCGCCCUUCGGGGUGAGCGGCGGACGGGUGAGUAACGCGUGGGAACGUGCCCUUCUCUGCGGAAUAGCCUCGGGAAACUGAGAGUAAUACCGCAUACGCCCUUUGGGGGAAAGAUUUAUCGGAGAAGGAUCGGCCCGCGUUGGAUUAGGUAGUUGGUGGGGUAAUGGCCCACCAAGCCGACGAUCCAUAGCUGGUUUGAGAGGAUGAUCAGCCACACUGGGACUGAGACACGGCCCAGACUCCUACGGGAGGCAGCAGUGGGGAAUCUUAGACAAUGGGGGCAACCCUGAUCUAGCCAUGCCGCGUGAGUGAUGAAGGCCUUAGGGUUGUAAAGCUCUUUCAGCUGGGAAGAUAAUGACGGUACCAGCAGAAGAAGCCCCGGCUAACUCCGUG
RNAcentral lists this ribosomal RNA (433 nucleotides) under uncultured bacterium. RNAcentral's name for it is "partial 16S ribosomal RNA". It matches the Rfam family "Bacterial small subunit ribosomal RNA", at positions 29 to 507 of the family's 1533-position model. The record is from RNAcentral.